GAUGAACGCUGGCGGCGUGCUUAACACAUGCAAGUCGAACGAGAAAUGGAGACGGAACCCUUCGGGCGGAAGGCUUCAUUUCGAGUGGCGGACGGGUGAGUAACGCGUGGGUAACCUGCCUCAUACAGGGGGAUAACAGUUGGAAACGACUGUUAAUACCGCAUAAGACCACAGCACCGCAUGGUGCGGGGGUAAAAACUCCGGUGGUAUGAGAUGGACCCGCGUUCGAUUAGCCAGUUGGCGGGGUAACGGCCCACCAAAGCGACGAUCGAUAGCCGAUCUGAGAGGAUGACCGGCAACAUUGGGACUGAGACACGGCCCAAACUCCUACGGGAGGCAGCAGUGGGGAAUAUUGCACAAUGGGGGAAACCCUGAUGCAGCGACGCCGCGUGAGUGAAGAAGUACUUCGGUAUGUAAAGCUCUAUCAGCAGGGAAGAAAAUGACGGUACCUGAGUAAGAAGCCCCGGCUAACUACGUG
RNAcentral lists this ribosomal RNA (478 nucleotides) under uncultured bacterium. Its description in RNAcentral is "partial 16S ribosomal RNA". It matches the Rfam family "Bacterial small subunit ribosomal RNA", at positions 28 to 507 of the family's 1533-position model. The record is from RNAcentral.